UUUAUGGAGAGUUUGAUCCUGGCUCAGGACGAACGCUGGCGGCGUGCCUAAUACAUGCAAGUCGAGCGGACUGAUUAAGAGCUUGCUCUUAUGACGUUAGCGGCGGACGGGUGAGUAACACGUGGGCAACCUGCCCUGUAGAUCGGGAUAACACCGAGAAAUCGGUGCUAAUACCGGGUAACAUCUGAGAUCACAUGAUCUUAGGUUAAAAGAUGGCUCCGGCUAUCACUACAGGAUGGGCCCGCGGCGCAUUAGCUAGUUGGUAAGGUAAUGGCUUACCAAGGCGACGAUGCGUAGCCGACCUGAGAGGGUGAUCGGCCACACUGGGACUGAGACACGGCCCAGACUCCUACGGGAGGCAGCAGUAGGGAAUCUUCCGCAAUGGACGAAAGUCUGACGGAGCAACGCCGCGUGAGUGAUGAAGGGUUUCGGCUCGUAAAGCUCUGUUGUUAGGGAAGAACAAGUACCGUUCAAAUAGGGCGGUACCUUGACGGUACCUAACCAGAAAGCCACGGCUAACUACGUGCCAGCAGCCGCGGUAAUACGUAGGUGGCAAGCGUUGUCCGGAAUUAUUGGGCGUAAAGCGCGCGCAGGCGGUCU
RNAcentral lists this ribosomal RNA (600 nucleotides) under Alkalihalobacillus sp. MEB130. Its description in RNAcentral is "bacterial SSU rRNA". It matches the Rfam family "Bacterial small subunit ribosomal RNA", at positions 1 to 581 of the family's 1533-position model. Lineage: Bacteria; Bacillati; Bacillota; Bacilli; Caryophanales; Bacillaceae. The record is from RNAcentral.